Non-coding RNA from Fimicolochytrium jonesii, 72 nucleotides. The record is from the annotation of a RefSeq genome assembly. NCBI's taxonomy places the organism in Eukaryota, Fungi, Chytridiomycota, Chytridiomycetes, Spizellomycetales, Powellomycetaceae.
GACAUUUUGGCUUAGUGGUUAAGACACCUGGCUCUCACCCAGGUGGCGUGGGUUCGAUUCCUACCUUCCCCA